This 497-nucleotide ribosomal RNA is filed under the name uncultured bacterium. RNAcentral's name for it is "partial 16S ribosomal RNA". It matches the Rfam family "Bacterial small subunit ribosomal RNA", at positions 28 to 507 of the family's 1533-position model. The record is from RNAcentral.
GAUGAACGCUGGCGGCGUGCCUAAUACAUGCAAGUCGAGCGAACAGACGAGGAGCUUGCUCCUCUGACGUUAGCGGCGGACGGGUGAGUAACACGUGGAUAACCUACCUCUAUGACUGGGGUAACUUCGGGAAAACGGAUCUAAUAACGGAUAAUAUAUUGAACCGCAUGGUUCAAUGGUGCAAGAGGGUUUUGCUGUCACUUAUAGCCGGAUGCGGGCUGCAUUAGCUAGUUGGUAAGGUAACGGCUUACCAAGGCGACGAUGCGUAGCCGACCUGAGAGGGUGAUCGGCCACACUGGAACUGAGACACGGUCCAGACUCCUACGGGAGGCAGCAGUAGGGAAUCUUCCGCAAUGGGCGAAAGCCUGACGGAGCAACACCGCGUGAGUGAUGAAGGUCUUCGGGUCGUAAAACUCUGUUGUUAGGGAAGAACAAAUGUGUAUUUAUCUAUGCACGUCUUGACGGUACCUAAACAAAAAGCCACGGCUAACUUCGUG